RNAcentral lists this long non-coding RNA (256 nucleotides) under Elaeis guineensis (African oil palm). Its description in RNAcentral is "long non-coding RNA (EGUI_LNC064560)". The record is from RNAcentral. Lineage: Eukaryota; Viridiplantae; Streptophyta; Magnoliopsida; Arecales; Arecaceae.
UCCCACGGAAGUCGGGCUCCAUCCUCAACCUCGACUGCUGGUGAGCUUCGAUCGGACUCCUACGGGAGCCGGACUUCGUCUCUGACUUUCAUUGCGGGUAAACUCUGUCCGAACUCCCACGGGAGCCAGACCUCGCCCCGACUCCACCUAGGAGAGCCAGACUCCCACAGCCCCACCAAGAGCGGAGGGAGAAAUCCCGCUCGAAAAAGAAAAGGGGAGAGGAGUUAAAAAGGAAAGCGAUGGAUUAUGUCAGCAA